Molecule: ribosomal RNA, 396 nt
Filed under: uncultured bacterium
Lineage: Bacteria
Description: partial 16S ribosomal RNA
Rfam family: Bacterial small subunit ribosomal RNA
Source: RNAcentral
AUAUUGCACAAUGGGGGAAACGCUGAUGCAGCGACGCCGCGUGAGCGAAGAAGCAUUUCGGUCUGUAAUGCCCUAUCAGCAGGGUAGAAAAUGACGGUUCCUGACUAAGAAGCUCCGGCCAACUACGUGCCAGCACCCGCGGUAAUACGUAGGGGGCAAGCGUUAGCCGGAUUUACUGGGUGUAAAGGGAGCGUAGGUGGCGAGUCAAGUCAGAUGUGAAAGCCCGGGGCUCAACCCAGGGAUUGCAUUUGAAACAGGUUUGCUAGAGUGCAGGAGAGGUAAGUGGAAUGCCUAGUGUAGCGGUGAAAUGCGUAGAUAUUAGGAGGAACACCAGUGGCGAAGGCGGCUUACUGGACUGUAACUGACACUGAGGCUCGAAAGCGUGGGGAGCAAACA